This 582-nucleotide ribosomal RNA is filed under the name uncultured Dechloromonas sp. RNAcentral describes it as "bacterial SSU rRNA". It matches the Rfam family "Bacterial small subunit ribosomal RNA", at positions 72 to 649 of the family's 1533-position model. The record is from RNAcentral. Lineage: Bacteria; Pseudomonadati; Pseudomonadota; Betaproteobacteria; Rhodocyclales; Azonexaceae.
ACGGGAGCUUGCUCCUGGUGGCGAGUGGCGAACGGGUGAGUAAAGUAUCGGAACGUACCUUUCAGUGGGGGAUAACGUAGCGAAAGUUACGCUAAUACCGCAUAUUCUGUGAGCAGGAAAGCAGGGGAUCGCAAGACCUUGCGCUGAUUGAGCGGCCGAUAUCAGAUUAGCUAGUUGGUGGGGUAAAGGCCUACCAAGGCGACGAUCUGUAGCGGGUCUGAGAGGAUGAUCCGCCACACUGGAACUGAGACACGGUCCAGACUCCUACGGGAGGCAGCAGUGGGGAAUUUUGGACAAUGGGGGCAACCCUGAUCCAGCCAUGCCGCGUGAGUGAAGAAGGCCUUCGGGUUGUAAAGCUCUUUCGGCCGGGAAGAAAUCGCAUGGGCUAAUACCCUGUGUGGAUGACGGUACCGGAAUAAGAAGCACCGGCUAACUACGUGCCAGCAGCCGCGGUAAUACGUAGGGUGCGAGCGUUAAUCGGAAUUACUGGGCGUAAAGCGUGCGCAGGCGGUUUAGUAAGACAGGCGUGAAAUCCCCGGGCUCAACCUGGGAACUGCGCUUGUGACUGCUAAGCUAGAGUAC